This 484-nucleotide ribosomal RNA is filed under the name uncultured bacterium. RNAcentral describes it as "partial 16S ribosomal RNA". It matches the Rfam family "Bacterial small subunit ribosomal RNA", at positions 28 to 523 of the family's 1533-position model. The record is from RNAcentral.
GACGAACGCUGGCGGCGUGCUUAACGCAUGCAAGUCGAACGAUGAAGCUGGAGCUUGCUCCGGUGGAUUAGUGGCGAACGGGUGAGUAACACGUGAGCAAACUGCCCUUGACUCUGGGAUAACUGCGGGAAACUGUAGCUAAUACCGGAUACUUUCACUGGAAGGCAUCUUCUGGUGAAGAAAGAAUUUCGGUCAAGGAUGAGCUCGCGGCCUAUCAGCUUGUUGGUGAGGUAACGGCUCACCAAGGCGACGACGGGUAGCCGGCCUGAGAGGGUGACCGGCCACACUGGGACUGAGAUACGGCCCAGACUCCUACGGGAGGCAGCAGUGGGGAAUAUUGCACAAUGGGCGCAAGCCUGAUGCAGCAACGCCGCGUGAGGGAUGAAGGCCUUCGGGUUGUAAACCUCUUUUAGCAGGGAAGAAGCGAAAGUGACGGUACCUGCAGAAAAAGCACCGGCUAACUACGUGCCAGCCGCCGCCGGAC